GGAGUCUGGGCCGUGUCUCAGUCCCAAUGUGGCCGUUCAUCCUCUCAGACCGGCUACCGAUCGUCGCCUUGGUAGGCCGUUACCCCACCAACCAGCUAAUCAGACGCAUCCCCAUCCCUUACCGAUGAAUCUUUGCUCCUCGUUAGAUGCCUGCAAAGGAGAACAUAGAGUAUUAAUCCGACUUUCGCCGGGCUAUCCUCUAGUAAGGGGAAGGUUGGAUACGCGUUACUCACCCGUGCGCCGGUCGCCAUCAAAGGAAGCAAGCUUCCUUCAUGCUGCCCCACGACUUGCAUGUGUUAAGCCUGUAGCUAGCGUUCAUC
RNAcentral lists this ribosomal RNA (320 nucleotides) under uncultured Prevotella sp. RNAcentral's name for it is "partial 16S ribosomal RNA". The record is from RNAcentral. Lineage: Bacteria; Pseudomonadati; Bacteroidota; Bacteroidia; Bacteroidales; Prevotellaceae.